RNAcentral lists this ribosomal RNA (119 nucleotides) under Helianthus annuus (common sunflower). Lineage: Eukaryota; Viridiplantae; Streptophyta; Magnoliopsida; Asterales; Asteraceae. The record is from RNAcentral.
GGUUGCAAUCAUACCAGCACUAAUGCACCGGAUCCCAUCAGAACUCCGCAGUUAAGCGUGCUUGGGCGAGAGUAGUACUAGGAUGGGUGACCCCCUGGGAAGUCCUCGUGUUGCAACCC